AUACAUACUGUGAAGAAAUGUCGCUGCGAAAAUUUUGAAGAUUGCAAAACAGCAGCGACUUAGUCACAUUCUUAAGAUUUGGGAUUCACCAUCAGUACCUUCAACGCUUGCAUCUUCAUCGCCAGGAGCACCAUUAAAACCUUCUGCCCUCAGCUUCUUCAUCGCCAGGAGCACCACCAGUACCUUCUAUCCUCAGCUCCUUCAUCGCCAGGAGCACCAUGGGUACGUUCCGCCCUCAGCACAUUCAAAGCCAGGAGCACCUUCAA
Molecule: long non-coding RNA, 266 nt
Organism: Rhagoletis pomonella (apple maggot)
Lineage: Eukaryota; Metazoa; Arthropoda; Insecta; Diptera; Tephritidae
Exons: 3
Source: RefSeq, a predicted model, not a curated record